CCUCCUUAGUGACAAUUGCUCAUACAACAAAAAUAAGAGUAGAUCUAACUCCUAACUAUAAGCCCAUUUAAAUGUAGGGUGUCACGCCCCGACCGUAGGAACCCAAUAGACCGGGCCUGUGCUAUAGGACAUUAAGACUUCCCUCACACAACCAACACAAGUCUUUUCUACGCACUUUGUCCUCACUCAUGCGCACCCAAAAUAACUUCCCAGUCAGUCACCCAUCUCAAGAUUGCUCCAGGCCAAGCACGCUUAACCUUAGAACCUUGGAGUUUUCUUGAGAUAAGCUUCU
This 292-nucleotide long non-coding RNA is filed under the name Oryza brachyantha (malo sina). RNAcentral's name for it is "long non-coding RNA (OBRA_LNC002617)". The record is from RNAcentral. Lineage: Eukaryota; Viridiplantae; Streptophyta; Magnoliopsida; Poales; Poaceae.